UUGGCUGAGGACGACGCGGGCUCUUUAAACGGCCCUCCGUGUGUCUCUCCGCCGCGUCCCGUCGUCCGGGAUGUCUCGGACCGACUUGUCCCCCGCGCUCGACAUCCUCCGGUCCCUGUACCGGCACACGGAGACCCUGGAGGAGUUCGCGAGCCGCGUGGUGUUCCGCGAAGGACGCAGGGCUGCGCUCGUGGAGCCGUCCGACACGCCCCGCUUCAAGUCCUUCGUCCGCGGCGUCUUCGUGUGCUUCGACAAGGACCUGCAGCAAGUGCCGAGCUGCAGCCAGAUCUGCACUCUCCCCGAGCUGCUGGCCUUUGUCGUCAACAAUCUCAAAAGAAAAAGAAAGAAAAACAUCCUGGCACACGGCUACAGCUUCCUGUCCGUGGCUCAGGAGGAGCGGGACGCCGACCACUUCAAGUUCCAAGGCGACGUGACCCAAAGCGCGGCCUACAUCCACGGCAGCGACCUGUGGAAGAAGGUCACCGCGCGCCUCGGCACGGACCUCGCGCGCUACCUGCUGGAGAGCUGCUCCGCCUUCGUGGCGGUUCCGCCGUCGUGCGUUUUCCAGGUGUGCGGCGCUCCCGUCUACGACAGGGUGUCCAUGACGACAGCCUCCACCGGGUUCUGCCUGCAGCCCCGGUACAGGGCGCGCAACGGCGCUCGGUUCGGAAGGAACCGAGGUGCGGCGACCUGGAAAGGGAGACGGGGAGCCGGCAGCGGCGCUGUCGGCGGGACGAGGCACCGGAGGGAGGCGACGAGGAAAAGAAAGAGGGAUACUGACCCGAAGGACGAGGAGGAGAUUAUGAUAGGAAAGAGGAGACGGGUAGGACCGCAAGAGCCCACGGGGGAACAGGUGGAGGAAGGUCAACAUGUGGAACCGCCGAAGCCUUUGGACAAACGGCCCGUCGAAAUGCAAAAGACCGUAAUUCCCGCAGAGGGAGGACCCAGUUGGAGAUCGGGCACCUCCCCUCCUCUGCCGCCCUCGCAGAGUUUCAUCCGCACGCUGGGCUUCCUGUACGGGGGAAGGGGCAUGCGCGGCUUCCUCCUCAACCGGAGGAAGAGGAGCGCGGGCGGCGGGUGCCGGAGGCUGCGCGGGCGAGACCUGGUGCGGACGGUCUUCUUCGAGGGGCUGCCGUUCCUCAGCGGGCCGGAGGGGAAACCCAAGAAACUGCCCCGGCGCUUUUUCCGCGCGGUGCCCUCGUUCAGUCGGCUGCUGCGUCGACACAGGAGCUGCCCCUACGGCCGCAUGCUGCAGAGGGCGUGCCCCGUGGCGGAUGUGGGCGCGGCCGAACCGGGGCGGUUGAGCGCCCUCUUGCCUCGGCACUGCGCGCCCCACAGGGUCUACCUGUUUGUCAGGGAAUGCCUCUUGGCCGUGAUCCCCUCGGAGCUGUGGGGCUCCGCCCACAACCGACGUCGGUUCUUCUUCAGGGUCCGGGGCUUCCUGUCCAGCGGCAAGUUCGAGCGUCUCUCGCUGGCCGAACUGAUGUGGAAGAUGAAGGUGAACGACUGCGACUGGCUGAAGAUCAGUCCAACUGGUAGGGUCCCGCCCAGUGAGCUCUCGUAUCGCACGCAGAUCCUGGGUCAGCUCCUGGCCUGGCUUCUGGACGGGUACGUGGUGGGCCUGGUCCGAGCCUGCUUCUACGUCACCGAGAGCGUGGGCCGGAAGAACGCCGUCCGGUUCUACAGACAGGAAGUCUGGGCGAAACUGCAGGAAUUGGCCUUCAGGGAUCACCUCUCCAAGGGUCAGAUGGAGGAGUUGACCCCGGCUCAGGUGGCGGCCCUCCCGAAAGCCACCGUCAUCUCCCGCCUGCGCUUCAUUCCCAAGACCGACAGCAUGAGGCCCAUAACGCGAGUCGUCGGAGCAGACGCCAAAACCAGAGUCUACCGGGGGCGUGUCCGGGACCUGCUGGACAUGCUGCGGGCCUGUGUGCGCUCCACUCCGGCCCUCCUGGGCUCCACAGUGUGGGGCAUGACGGAUAUCCACAAGGUGCUGUGCUCUCUAGCUCCGGCCCAGAAGGACGAACCCAAGCCCCUCUACUUUGUUAAGGUGGAUGUGAGUGGCGCCUACGAGAGUCUGCCUCAUGACAAACUCAUUGAAGUGAUUGGCCAGGCUCUGACACCCGUCCAGGAAGAACUCUUUACCAUCCGUCGCUAUGCCAAAAUCUGGGCUGAUUCCCACGAGGGCAUGAAAAAGUCCUUUGUUAGACAGGCAGAUUUCCUGGAGGGUAACAUGGGCUCCACCAACAUGAAAGGGUUUGUGACGUCCCUGCAGAAGAGAGGGAAAGUGCAUCAUGCCAUACUGGUGGAGCAGUAUUUCUGCUCAGACCUUCACGGCAGAGAGGCGUUGCAGCUCUUCACCCAAAUGCUGACCGGCAGCGUUGUUCAGUUUGGCAAGAAAACUUACCGUCAGUGCCGAGGGAUUCCUCAGGGAUCGGUUGUGUCCAGCCUGCUCUGCUGCCUCUGCUACGGGCACAUGGAGAACGUCCUGUUCAAAGACAUCGCCGAGAAGAAAGGGUGUUUGAUGAGACUGGUGGACGACUUCCUUCUGAUCACGCCCGACUUGCACGGCGCACAAACCUUCCUCAAGAUCUUGCUGGCCGGCGUGCCGCAGUACGGUCUGGUGCUCAACCCGCAGAAGGUGGCGGUGAACUUCCAGGUGACGGGCAGCGUGGGCUCGUGUCCCGGCAUCCGGGCGCUGCCCGCCCACUGCCUCUUCCCCUGGUGUGGGCUGCUGCUGGACACGCAGUCGCUGGACGUCUCCAAGGACUACUCCAGCUACGCAGACCUGUCUCUGCGCUACAGCGUGACUUUGGGCUCGUUCCACUCGGCUGGACAGCAGAUGAGGAGGAAGCUGACGGCCAUCCUCAGACUCAAGUGUCACCCGCUGUUCCUGGACCUGAAGACCAAUUCUCUUGAGGUCGUCUACAAGAACAUCUACAAGCUGGUGCUGCUUCAUGCAUGCAGGUUCCACGUGUGUGCCCAGAGUUUGCCCUUCGGCCAGACGGUUGCUAAGAACCCCGACUACUUCCUGCAGAUGAUAUUGGACAUGGCCGACUACGCCAAUCAGCUCAUCAGGCUCAGCAACAAAGGGCAGGUUCUCGGCAGUCAGACCCAGGGUGGCGUGGUGCAGUACGAAGCCGUGGAGCUGCUCUUCUGCCUGUCCUUCUUGCUCGUGCUGUCGCGACACCGGUUUCUCUACAAGUGUCUGCUGCCACAUCUGCACAAACGGAAGCGCAGUCUAGAGCGACGUCUGGGGGCCAUGAGGCUGGCCAGGGUUCGCCAGGCCACGAACCCCAGGACCCCCGUCGACUUCUUGGCCAUCCAGAUGUAGACUACCAGCUGAAUUGCAGCUCCCAUUAGAACCAUAAAAACCCUCAGCAGCUCAAAAGCAAGCGGUAGGUUCCCGUUUUUCAACCUCAAAGCCGUCGUCGCAGGAGGGAUUCGGGUCGGCGGAGGACUUCUUGAUUCUACAGCAGAUCAGUUUGUAGAGCGCCACGAGCGGGAUGGGAAUCACGGGUACUACAGACAGGAGGAUGAUUAUGGCAAACACCCAGUCUGGGUAGGGCUUCGCCUCCGUUUUGGGGAAUUGUUCCUGAAGGAAAAAAACAACAACCAAGAAGUGCAAAUAAUGAAUAUUGUGAGUUGAAAUUGGCUGAUUCUCUUUAUUCUCCCUCUAAAAAAAAAUCAAUAUCUGUCAUAAUUGGGUUAGCUUAGCUUAAAGUCCCUUAUGCUCAACCAAGAAAUGUUUCUAGCACGCAACUUCCCAUAAAACCACAAAGAAAGAAAGAAGAUGCACCUUUUUUAAACCUUUUGAGGUGCUGGUAUAUAUUUAUUUACCUUUUGGACAGAGCUAGGCUAUCGCUCCUUCUUCCAAAAAGCUAAUUUCCUGGGGCGCUAGCUUCAUGAACGUGCAUCGAUCUUCUCAUCUAACUCGAAGCAAAAUGGCGGUUAACUCUUGUGUCCAAGAAUGUAAAAAACUAUUCCUCCUAAACCUGCAUUCAUUUAUUCAUUUUUAGCUGCUUGGGUGCUGCAACAUUCACUCUCUUUUAGCUCUGUUUUCAGUCUCCUCCAAUGGAAAAGAUCUGGCUUUCUAGUCGCUAAAUGCUUGACGUUGGUCACCAGCUAGUUGCUAACUUUGGUGCUUGAAGUGCACACUUGCUUUAUCGUGUGUGUGUGUUUCUUAUAUAUAAUGUAUUCAAGACUGGACUCUGGACUGUACUUACAUAGUCUGGGUUCCAUGUGGGAUACGUUGGGUGUUUUUGUGCCUGGACGAUGAUGUAGAAAAUCAACACCACCAGGAGCAUUAAAGGACUGAUCACCAUCCAGCAUGCCUUCCAGAACAUGUUGGGCUUCUUCCCAGUCAUGAAGUAGAUGUCUUCACUGAAACUGUCAAGGGGAACCAGAGGAAAUGCUCAAGCACACCGGGAUCUCCAUUUGUAUACGAGUCUCAUAAACCGACCGUGUAGAAGUUACUUCUUCAUGCCGUAGACGUAAAUGACGGCGGUGAUCUCGAAGAAUGCGACGAUGAGCAGGGGUACAGAGCCCACGUAGGUGUUGAAGAUCUCCACCCAGUAGUUCCCCGAACCCAUGGUGAAGAUGAGAGCCAUCAGGAAGGCUAUCGAGCAGAUGAUCGCUGAGGAAGUGAGAGAAGAGGCAGCUUUAAAACGUGUUACCGCUUCAAAACGCCAAACUAUCCUCCCCCUUACCCGUUACAACUCCAUCGGGGAUCCACUUGGGCAGCAGUUGGAGGUCUCUGAUGGGCGUGAGGACGCCCUCCAAGUUGCCGAACAUGGAGGAGAGGCCCAGGCUCAGGAGCAUGGUGAAGAACAGUACGGCCCAUAUCUGGGCGCCCGGCAUCGCCACCACCGCUUCGCUGAACACGAUGAAAGCCAGGCCGGUUCCCGAUGCACUCUGGGAAGAGGAAGACGAAAAGGGGGUUGGGGGCAAAGACGGUAAUGAGGAAGCACUCCGGAGGACGAGAAAGGGGAGGAAGACAUUUUGGGAAAAAAACCAGAAUGCAUUGGAUGUUUUUGAGCCUGUGUGAGUUAGGAAGGUUACGAUAAUGUAACCCUUUCUAUAAGCACAGGCGAAGCCCUCUACCAUGUGUGUGGUGGGGGGGGUGUUUGGUGUCUAGGGUGCUGCCCUCUAAACUGGGGGUUUGCGUGUGUGUGUGUGUGUGUCCCCCCCCAAUAGAGUCCAGUAGUACAAUAACGUAACCUUCGCUACAAUACCUGGUCAAGGAAUGAUUGCAGGUCACAGUGCCUCAGGUCCACACGGGCCACCUCAGCUGGAAACGUACGAUUUAGAUACUCCAACCAUUGAUCAUAGUUGUCCACUGUCAUGUUCUGGUCUGAAAGCUCAAAGUGGUUGAUCAGAGCCAAGAUGUUCCUGCAAGAUCGGACCCCCCCCCCC
Molecule: RNA transcript, 5412 nt
Organism: Cyclopterus lumpus (lumpfish)
Lineage: Eukaryota; Metazoa; Chordata; Actinopteri; Perciformes; Cyclopteridae
Gene: tert
Gene name: telomerase reverse transcriptase
Exons: 16
Source: RefSeq, a predicted model, not a curated record